Molecule: long non-coding RNA, 7001 nt
Filed under: Sus scrofa (pig)
Lineage: Eukaryota; Metazoa; Chordata; Mammalia; Artiodactyla; Suidae
Description: lncRNA (ENSSSCG00000061832.1)
Source: RNAcentral
CCGGACGGAAACUCCAAGGCAACUCUUCACUUGCCAGCGAUCCUGCGUGCGCGACCGAUUUCCGCACAUGCGCGGUCUGUGCCUGCAGUGCCCGCUCGACACCUAAGUAACGGCACGGUUGGUCUGGCCUCUGUGGCAGGGUGAGGUGUUGGCGACAGGUGGGUUCUAGGAAGGGAUGGUCUUGGGGCUCAAGUGUCGGAGGGGGGCCAGCGAGCGAGAGAGCUCGGGCAGAGAAGGAGGCUCUGAGAGCAUGGGCGUCCCAAGAGUGGCGUCCCAAGAGGGGUUUGGAAAUUUAGUUGAGAAAGAGGAGUUUUGUGGUCUCUGUGCACCACGUACUGGGAGGAACUGAGAGGUGAAAGAGAACCUAUUAUUCAUUCGUUUAGAAAGUAUCUUUUAAACUUCCAGCCUCUGCUCGUCACUAGCCUAGGCCCUGGGAAUCAGCUCUGAUCCCUACAGACAAGGCUUCUCUUCUCACGCAGCGUAAUUCUGGUAGGGGGAAGACAGACAUUAACCAUAAGAAGGAACACAGCUGGAGAUGCCCAGUGAAUUCUGCCUCCAGCUCGGUAUAAACCUUAUCAGGUCUGUCAGUAACCUCAAACCAAAGACGACAAAGGCCCGCUGAGAAUUAACAGGUUGGGUUUAUUGCUGGUUGCAGAGAGAGAGAACACACACCAUGAAGAACUGUGGGGCAUCUCAGGAGGAGUUGUCAGGUGAUUUGGAUGAGGGUUUAAGAAAGUGGGACUUUACCCUGGAUAAGAUGCUGUCAGAAAGUGGAGGUAAUUUUAUGAUUGGGCAUCUCAGUAAAUGUUAUCUAGACGGAAGGACUACUAGACGAGGCUGAAGUCCUGAUUGGUAGAGAAGCAGGAGUCCCUCAUUACCAGAAUAAGGGCUAUUUGGUCAUUUUUUGUGGUUUGAACAAUGUCCCUGUUUGAUCUGUGUUCAGAUUUAAUUAGGAGUGGUUUCGCUUUUGUAUUGGUCUAUCAUGGCCAUAGAAUGGCUUUGUCUAACAUUUAUGUUCUAUGAAAUUAGGUUCAACAAGAAAACACGAGGCCUAGCUAAGAGGACCAGGCUAUCAUCUAGUAACAUUACUGCCUGUUUGAUUGUAUCAGGCCAGCUGCCAAAUGUCAAAGGCUACUGUUCUCUUUCUCAAGUGUUUUGCAUUUUCUGCACCUGUAAAGGGAAGGGACUAGAUGACCUCUAAGUCUUUCCAUUUCCAAGCACCGAAUUGCUACAGUAAUUUGUAUGCAUGCAGGACACAGUGUAAGUUCUGUUCAAUACAGUUUUAAGUUUAAUGGCCCUUAUCCGAUGCUUUCUACUUAGGGAAUUGAAAGAAAAGCAAUAGGAAGAACACAGAAUUAAAAAGCUAUUAUUCCUAACAUGGUGUCUGAAUUUCACCAGACCCCUUUGCCUCUCUAGGCUUUGAGACAUUCAUUAGUUAAAUAAAGGGAUUGGAAUAAAUGACCUCUAUUUCAGCUACCUAUUGCAUCAUCAUAAACUACCUCUAAGACUUAGAAGUUUAAAAUAACAGUGCUUUCUUAUUCUUUGCAAUUGUGUGGGUUAACUGGACUCAGCUGGUCCCACGUAGUAUAAGCCGAGAUUACUCAUGAGACUGCAGUCAGCUGGGAGCUCAUCAAAACAGCUUCCUCAUCCUCCAGGGCCUCUCUCUUUACCUGACUUUUUACCGUUCAGGCUUCUGCAUGGUGACUAACUUCCAAGAGGACAAACCCCGUUGAGCAAAUACUUAUCAAGCCUCUGGUUGCACCACAGUUGUUAGUGUGUCACUGGCCAAAACAAGCCAUAUGGCCAAGCCCAGAGUCGGGGUGGAAGGGUCUACACAAGGUUGUGAAUACAGAGAGUCGUCGUGCAUUGGGGGCCCCCAGUGUAACAGUAAUCAGGGCCUUUAAGGGCCAGCACUUGUCACAGGACCUAGCAGCUGAGAUUAGGAUAGGAGUCACAGCUGAAUAUGAACCCCUCCAUGUGUCUGUUUAUCCUGCACUGUCUUUUUUAUUGUUUCAAAAUUUGAUAGUUUCACAUUUUAAAAUCUGAAUUUCUAACUUCUCUUGGAAAGUUAGACUAUUCGACUAUCAGAUCUGCAUGGCAAAAAUAUGCAGAAGUUAAGUAGCAAUUACCUUCUUUGUUCAAAGCAUGUACGCUAUAGAUUGCCACUGUUACCACAGCUCCCUGUUGUCUUUACUCAUUUAACUUGUAUGCUGAAUCCAUAUAGAUAUUUGAGCUUGCAACCCUUGGCAAUGGGACUGUAAUGGAGAUAACUCAAGGUUUCUGUCCUUUUAUUAAAACCAUAUCCCACCUUAAGAGGAGAAAAUACUAAUAUUAUUGGGUCAAACUCCAGGAGCUCAGUGAGAUGAAAAAGUUAUUAUAUAGGACAGAAGUUGUUCCCAAGCUGUUGAAGAGGCAGGCUUAUCACUUUGUUCUCUCCUUGUCUCAAACAAGAUCUCAGGUGCUCAGGUAUUUUUAUUGACUCAAGCUUGAUGCCAGCUGGUGAUUAGAUUUGGUCAUCUAUAAAGGCAGAAGACCUUGAGGCAUAUGUUCCCUCUAUUUUUCAGAUAGCUCUACACAGAUAGCUAACAAAAAAGAAAGCUGGUACAGGUCUACAAUCCCUGAACCAAAAACCUGAAGUCCAGAUAUGCUCAGAAUUCAGAACUGUUGCGAUUGUACAAAGGCUGUAUGAUGCACAUACUAUAUAUAUAAUGUAACACCCCCAGUGGGUUCUAGGUCAGCAUUUUAUAAUCACAUACAUUGAUUUUCUGCAGCAGAGCAUAUGUGUGCCUACUAUCAAUUUAUAGCCUCUCAGUUCCAAAUCCACCCUUCUUUUCCAUUCUUUGAAAUACUGGAGUAGGGCCCUGUAAGUAUUUCUCCCCUGCCAGCUGGCACAGUGUUGACUGCUGUCAAUACAGAGACCUAGAGGGAAGCAGCCAAAUGAAGAGUCUUCUUUUCCUCAUUCCAGAAUAUUUUCUUUUCCUUCUUGCCCUUGUGGUGGCACACGGCAGCAAAUAGUCUGCAGAACUGUUAUCCCUCUCUCAGCGCACACACACUUCACCAUCCAACAGGCCAUAACUGUCCUCUUUCUAGUGAAGUCUGAAUCCAAGCUAACAGUGGAGGUGAGAAGGCUCUUUCAAAAUUGUCCUUCCUUGAGUAUUCAGCCUCACCCUAUACGUAGUGGCUAUUCCCUGUAACGAUUAUUUCUGUAUCCUUUAGACUUGUCUUUACCCCUUAGUACUUAAUACCUGUUACCAGUUAAUAUUUAAAUUUUCUCAAAAGAGAGAGUGGCAGAUGUGAGAGUAUGUGACCUCCAAGACUGGAUCAUAGACUUGUGGGUUCCUCUUUGCUCUCUCCCUCGGGUUACUCGCUCUGGAGGAAGCAAGCUGCCGUGUCAUGAUGACACUUGAGCAGCCCUAUGGGAUGUCCAUGUGGUGAGGAACUGAGGCCACCUGCCAACAAUCAGCACUAACUUUCCAGGCCUAUGAGUGAGCCAUCCUGCCCCAGUCAGUCCUUCAGAUGACAGUAGCCCCAUUCAGUUCUUAACCUCAUGAGAGAUCCUGAGCCAGGAUCACCCAUCCAAGCUACUCUUGGAUCCCUGACCCACAGAGACUGUGUGAGAUAAUAAACAAUUGUCAUUUUAACCUGACAAAUUUUGAGGUUUUUUUUUUUUUACACAGCAAUAGACAACUAAUAAAGGUACCCGCCCCAAAAAAGAGCUCGUUCAAAAUACUGAACGCAGUUCUCUUUUAAUCUAGGCCCUGUAAACCCUUGAUAGAGCUUUGUGUCUUUCCCUUUUUUAUGAAUACUUUUGAAGGUAAAGAGCAGCAUUUUAAAAUAGUAUGUUUUGACCUGUGCUGAGUUUUCUGAAUUCAGAUUGUUUUAGAAGAGGAUAAGAAUGUUGUUAAGAAGUAUUGAAGGAGUUCUCAUCAUGGCUCAGUGGUUAACGAAUCCGACUAGGAACCAUGAGGUUGCAGGUUCAGUCCCUGGCCUCUCUCAGUGGCUUAAGGAUCCAGCAUUGCUGUGGCUGUGGCAUAGGCCAAUGGCUACAGCUCCCAUUAGACCCCUAGCCUGGGAAUGUCCAUGUACCGCAGGUGAGGCCUUAAAAAAAAAAAAAAGUAUUGAAGGUGGCAGCCCCCUUUGACAAGGUUUCAUGCCUUAUCCAUCCAUCUAUAGAAUCCAGGGUCAGGGGGGUGGGAAGGCAGUUACGAAAUACAUGUGAGCAUAUUUAUGAACUGAGAAAGGUAGACUUUUCUGAGAGUCUUACUUGGCUGUUUUGAUAGUGCCAAUAAUAAGUGUUAGAUGAGGUAAAUCUUUAGUUUCACAAUUUCUAGGAAAAUGCAUUUAAAAUACAUAAGGAAAAACAUUUCCUCAAUUAAUUUAUUGGCAUGUGUAUUUUUUCUUUUUUUUUUCUUUUCUUUUUUUCUUUUUUGCUUUUUAUGGCCACGCCCACAGCAUGGUAGGGGUGGAAUCAGAGCUGCAGCUGCCGGCCUACACCACAGCCACAACAAUGUACUGGCAUGUGUAUUGAAAUUAAUAUUUGUAUCUUCUCAACCCUUUUUUUAAAUUUAUCAGUUUACGUAAGAUACCACCAAAUGAAAGAGUAAAGAAAAGUUGAAUUCAUAGCAGAUUAACUCAUGUAUCAGUCAGAAUUCAGCCAGAGAAGCAGAACCGGUAAGAGUGUUCUUAAACGGCUUUUUUUUUUUUUUUUUUUUAAACAAAAGAGUUGACCUCAUAAUUGUCAAAUCUAUUUAAGCAGUCUCUGUAAGGUUGUUGUCUUUGCAGUUGAUGCUGGAUCUUAAAGUCCAUAGGGCAGGCAGUCAGGAAGGGAAGAUGGAUAUAAGGUGGGGAAGAGCAGGCAUCAGCCAAACUGGAGUCCAUGAGGACAGACACAACCUGUGUCAGUUCCUGUUGCCCCUGACCUUGGUGGAUGUCCUGCAAAGGCUGGAGCCCUUUGUUACAGAGCUGAACACACCCACUUGGCCCAGGAAUCAGAAAAGUUGAAGGAGCCUCCAGGGGAAGAGGAAGUGAUGGUAGACACAGCCAUUCCUCACACCCCCGAGGUGAGUGAGCAGGCAGAUCAGCGACAGUGUAUAUGGGCCACUAAAUGACUACAGUUUCACUUCCACUCUCCAAUGCCCACACAAGUCUCUCUUGUGGCUCACCCUGAUCAGAAUCAUAGAGGAACAGAAUUCAGGGAAAUGUAGUUCAGCUUAGUCUAGCUGACACAUUACAACGUUUCCACACCCUGGAAACAUAGUGGCUUUAUAUACAUCUGCUGUCCAUACAAGAGCUAAUGGAGUCAGCUGGCCCUCCAACUUAGAGUUUUGCCAUCUGAAAUUCAUGGUUUCCAGUGUUGCUGGGGCAGAGGGGAAGCUCACCAGCUUACUCAGAAGCACAUUAUUCCUGCUCACUAUUCACUGGUCAGUGCCUAAUCAUGUGGCCCUAAGAAGCUGCAAGGGAAGUUGAAUUUGGUGAACACAAAAGAAUUUUGGUAGAUGGUCUGUAUUAAUUAAUUAAUAAGUAAUAAAUAUUUAUUUAAUAAUUUAAUAUUAAGAAUGCUAUAAUUAUUACCCAUUUAGUAAAUUCUUGGAGUUGCCAUCAUGGCUCAGCAGUAACAAACCCAACUAGUAUUCAUGAGGACACAGGUUCAAUCCCAGGACUCGCUCAGUGGGUUAAGGAUCCAGUGUUGCUGUGAGUUGUGGUGUAGGUCGCAGAUAAGGGUCAGAUCUGGUGUUGCCGUGGCUGUGGAAUAGACUGGCAGCUGCAGCUCCGAUUCCACCCCUAGCCUGAGAACGUCCAUGUGCUGCAGAUGCAGCCCUGAAAAUACAAAAAAAAAAAAAAAUUCUGGUAAAGACUUUUUGAUAUGUUUCCCAGAAAUUGAGAUAGUGAAUUUCUCCAGUGUCUAUAUUGGUCAGGUGGUUUCCAAUGCUUUGCUCUCAAAAAAAUUGAAGGAGGAUUGAAUUGAGUUUUAGUGAUAAUUUUAAAUAAUUUUGCUUUCAGAUCACUGUGUAAUAUUUGACAUAAUAACUUGGAAAGAUUCUUAAAAAGUUGCAUAACAUUGCUAUGAGACAGUGUUCAUUCUUCUGUGAACAAGUCUUCUUAGUACUAACAUCUCUAAAAAUAAGACCUAAAAAGAAAUUUGACACUGAACACUUUCUCAUUCUAGCAGGUGAAAUUAAUGCACGAAUAUACAAACUAUUUUUUAAAUUUUUUGUUGGUUAAAAAGAUGUAGUUGUAGGAGUUCUCUUGUGGCACCGCUGGUUAAGGAUCCAGCAUUGUCAGUGUAGUGGCUUGGGUCACUGUUGUGGUACAGGUUCAGUCCCUAGCCCCUAACUUCCAUAUGCCGCAGAUGUGGGUAGUUCUAAUAGUGUUCUAUGUUUAUAUUUAAUAAUGGAGUAUAAUAAUAAUGAUAAGUAAAUCCAGAAGGAUGUUUUUGCUAAUAUUUUGAACCUAUGAUCACAGGAAAUACAAAUUACAACACAACAAACAAAAGUAUGAUAGGAUGAUCAGCAAAAGACUUUCAAGCAUAAAAUAUAUUUGGAUAAAAUUAUCUGGGGAAAAUGGAGUGGAAAUAUGAGUUUGGGGAGAAAAAGGAAUGAUAACAAAAUUUCCUCCUAUUAGAAAAAAGCUUGUCCAUGUAUAUCUUUAAAGGAUAAUGUUAUAAAAUUGUUAUUCAAAUUUCAUUGAGUAGAGUAAUGGAAAAAUUUUUAAAUGUCAAUACCCUGAAAAUUAUAUUCUUUUCAACUAUUUAAAUUUAUGCUUAAGGGAGUUCCCAUAGUGGUGCAGUGGAAACAAAUCCAACUAGGAACCAUGAGGUUGCAGGUUCCAUCCCUGGCCUCACUCUGUGGGUUAAAGGAUCUGGUGUUGCCGUGAGCUGUGGUGUAGGUCACAGGCACAGCUUGGAUCUGGCGUUGCUGUGGCUGUGGUAUAGGCCAGCAGCUGUAGCUCGGAUUAGACCCCUAUCCUGGGAACCUCCGUGUACUGUAGGUGCAGCCCAAAAA